GAUGAAGAACGUAGCAAAAUGCGAUAAGUAGUGUGAAUUGCAGAAUUCCGUGAAUCAUCGAAUCUUUGAACGCACAUUGCGCCCGUCAGUAUUCUGGCGGGCAUGCCUGUUCGAGCGUCAUUACGCCCCUCAAGUCCCCUGUGGACUUGGUGUUGGGGAUCGGCGAGGCUGGUUUUCCAGCACAGCCGUCCCUUAAAUUAAUUGGCGGUCUCGCCGUGGCCCUCCUCUGCGCAGUAGUAAAACACUCGCAACAGGAGCCCGGCGCGGUCCACUGCCGUAAAACCCCCCAACUUUUUAUAGUUGACCUCGAAUCAGGUAGGACUACCCGCUGAACUUAAGCAUAUCAAUAAGCGGAGGA
This 358-nucleotide unclassified non-coding RNA is filed under the name soil metagenome. RNAcentral's name for it is "partial contains 5.8S ribosomal RNA, internal transcribed spacer 2, and large subunit ribosomal RNA". The stretch from base 1 to 120 matches the Rfam family "5.8S ribosomal RNA", at positions 35 to 154 of the family's 154-position model. The record is from RNAcentral.